This 550-nucleotide ribosomal RNA is filed under the name uncultured bacterium. RNAcentral's name for it is "bacterial SSU rRNA". It matches the Rfam family "Bacterial small subunit ribosomal RNA", at positions 355 to 896 of the family's 1533-position model. The record is from RNAcentral. RNAcentral also lists the same sequence under 1 other name.
UAGGGAAUCUUCGGCAAUGGGCGGAAGUCUGACCGAGCAACGCCGCGUGAGUGAAGAAGGUUUUCGGAUCGUAAAGCUCUGUUGUAAGAGAAGAACGAGUGUGAGAGUGGAAAGUUCACACUGUGACGGUAUCUUACCAGAAAGGGACGGCUAACUACGUGCCAGCAGCCGCGGUAAUACGUAGGUCCCGAGCGUUAUCCGGAUUUAUUGGGCGUAAAGCGAGCGCAGGCGGUUAGAUAAGUCUGAAGUUAAAGGCUGUGGCUUAACCAUAGUACGCUUUGGAAACUGUUUAACUUGAGUGCAAGAGGGGAGAGUGGAAUUCCAUGUGUAGCGGUGAAAUGCGUAGAUAUAUGGAGGAACACCGGUGGCGAAAGCGGCUCUCUGGCUUGUAACUGACGCUGAGGCUCGAAAGCGUGGGGAGCAAACAGGAUUAGAUACCCUGGUAGUCCACGCCGUAAACGAUGAGUGCUAGGUGUUAGACCCUUUCCGGGGUUUAGUGCCGUAGCUAACGCAUUAAGCACUCCGCCUGGGGAGUACGACCGCAAGGUUG